AUGAUAUCAUUCAUAUGACUUCUACCUUCAUCUUUUGUAGACUGAUUUCUAAUUUCUUUGUCCUCAUCCCUUUAAUUUCUUGAAAUGAUGGAAAAAAUAUCUAAUAAGUUUGUGUUGCUAUGUUAUUGCGUUUCAUGGUACACUAUUCAGCCAAUUCUAAUUAUGUUCAUCAAUCUCAUGGCCUACUAGAUAACCCUUUGGAUUCACUUUUUCCAUUAACCUUGACUUUAUGGAAUCUGUGAUGGUUUAAUCUAAGGAACAACCUUCUGAAUUUGCAGGCACUGUAGUCGAGUCGAGUUUUUUUUUGUCCGUUUGGUAUAAAAAACAACAAACAAAAAUGAAGUUCAUGAAACUUGGGACAAAGCCAGAUACUUUCUAGACUGAACAAGCUACCAGGACAUGACAUCAGAGAUACCCUCAGAUCUUGUAAUACAGAUCAACGGUGUUACUUAUCUGCUACACAAGAAACCAUUCGAAUCCUCAACCUAUUUGAAACCCUUUUGAUGGCUCACACAUGUUUCUGUAUUCUUCCCGACCUCAUCACGGCAAGUCUUCUUUCAUUCAAAACCCUUUUGCUGGCUCGGUGUGUG
Molecule: long non-coding RNA, 590 nt
Organism: Medicago truncatula (barrel medic)
Lineage: Eukaryota; Viridiplantae; Streptophyta; Magnoliopsida; Fabales; Fabaceae
Exons: 3
Source: RefSeq, a predicted model, not a curated record